This 372-nucleotide ribosomal RNA is filed under the name uncultured bacterium. RNAcentral's name for it is "bacterial SSU rRNA". It matches the Rfam family "Bacterial small subunit ribosomal RNA", at positions 524 to 898 of the family's 1533-position model. The record is from RNAcentral.
UACGGAGGAUGCAAGCGUUAUCCGGAUUCAUUGGGUUUAAAGGGUGCGCAGGUGGGCUUGUAAGUCAGUGGUGAAAUACUGCCGCUUAACGGUAGAAUUGCCAUUGAUACUGUGAGUCUUGAGUAUGGUUGAGGUAGGCGGAAUGUGUUGUGUAGCGGUGAAAUGCAUAGAUAUGACACAGAACGCCGAUUGCGAAGGCAGCUUACUAAGCCAUUACUGACACUGAGGCACGAAAGCGUGGGGAGCGAACAGGAUUAGAUACCCUGGUAGUCCACGCCGUAAACGAUGAUCACUCGCUGUUUGCGAUACACAGUAAGCGGCUGAGCGAAAGCAUUAAGUGAUCCACCUGGGGAGUACGAUCGCAAGGUUGAA